CCUGGUGACCAUACCGAGGGGGAACCACCCGUUCCCAUCCCGAACACGGCAGUUAAGCCCCUCAGGGCCGAUGGUACUGGUCAGGGUAACCGACCGGGAGAGUAGGUCGUUGCCAGGA
RNAcentral lists this ribosomal RNA (118 nucleotides) under Bacillota bacterium. Lineage: Bacteria; Bacillati; Bacillota. The record is from RNAcentral.